Molecule: ribosomal RNA, 510 nt
Filed under: uncultured Bacteroidales bacterium
Lineage: Bacteria; Pseudomonadati; Bacteroidota; Bacteroidia; Bacteroidales
Description: partial 16S ribosomal RNA
Source: RNAcentral
CACGGAGUUAGCCGAUGCUUUUUCUUCGGGUACUCUCGGAACGCCACACGUGGCGUCUUUUGCUCCCCGACAAAAGAGGUUUACAAUCCAUAGGACCGUCUUCCCUCACGCGACUUGGCUGGUUCAGGCUCGCGCCCAUUGACCAAUAUUCCUCACUGCUGCCUCCCGUAGGAGUCUGGUCCGUGUCUCAGUACCAGUGUGGGGGACCUUCCUCUCAGAACCCCUACGCAUCGUCGCCUUGGUGGGCCGUUACCCCGCCAACUAGCUAAUGCGCCGCAUGGCCAUCCGUAGCCGGUGUUACCCUUUAAACUCCAUGAGAUGCCUCUCGGAGUUAUUACGCGGUAUUAGACGGAAUUUCUUCCGCUUAUCCCCCUGCUACGGGCAGGUUCCAUACGUGUUACUCACCCGUGCGCCGGUCGCCGGCGGAAGUAUUGCUACCUCCCCGCUGCCCCUCGACUUGCAUGUGUUAAGCCUGUCGCUAGCGUUCAUCCUGAGCCAGGAUCAAACUCU